This 301-nucleotide ribosomal RNA is filed under the name uncultured bacterium. RNAcentral describes it as "partial 16S ribosomal RNA". It matches the Rfam family "Bacterial small subunit ribosomal RNA", at positions 509 to 807 of the family's 1533-position model. The record is from RNAcentral.
CAGUCGCCGCGGGAAUACGAAGGGGGCUAGCGUUGCUCGGAAUCACUGGGCGUAAAGGGUGCGUAGGCGGGUCUUUAAGUCAGGGGUGAAAUCCUGGAGCUCAACUCCAGAACUGCCUUUGAUACUGAGGAUCUUGAGUUCGGGAGAGGUGAGUGGAACUGCGAGUGUAGAGGUGAAAUUCGUAGAUAUUCGCAAGAACACCAGUGGCGAAGGCGGCUCACUGGCCCGAUACUGACGCUGAGGCACGAAAGCGUGGGGAGCAAACAGGAUUAGAUACCCGUGUAGUCCCUGUCUCUUAUAC